RNAcentral lists this ribosomal RNA (1154 nucleotides) under Paenibacillus germinis. RNAcentral's name for it is "Paenibacillus sp. LMG 31460 partial 23S ribosomal RNA". It matches the Rfam family "Bacterial large subunit ribosomal RNA", at positions 14 to 1168 of the family's 2925-position model. The record is from RNAcentral. Lineage: Bacteria; Bacillati; Bacillota; Bacilli; Caryophanales; Paenibacillaceae.
AGAGCACACGGAGGAUGCCUAGGCACUAGGAGCCGAAGAAGGACGUGGCGAACGACGAAAUGCCUCGGGGAGCCGUAAGCAGGCUUUGAUCCGGGGAUGUCCGAAUGGGGGAACCCAGCUGUGGUAAUGCGCAGUUACUCUAUUGUGAAUACAUAGCAAUAGUAGAGGCAUACCCAGGGAACUGAAACAUCUAAGUACCUGGAGGAAAAGAAAACAAAAGUGAUUCCGUCAGUAGCGGCGAGCGAAAGCGGAAUAGCCCAAACCAAGGAGCUUGCUCCUUGGGGUUGUAGGACCUCGUUGUGGGGUUAGUUCGGUAGGCGAAGUGAUCUGGAAAGGUCCGGCAUAGAAGGUAAAAGCCCUGUAGCCAAAAUCGAACGAAAUCCCUAGAGGUAUCCUGAGUACGGCGGGUCACGUGAAACCCCGUCGGAAUCCGGCAGGACCAUCUGCCAAGGCUAAAUACUCCCUAGUGACCGAUAGUGAAGCAGUACCGUGAGGGAAAGGUGAAAAGCACCGCGGAAGCGGAGUGAAAAAGAACCUGAAACCGUGUGCUUACAAAAAGUCAGAGCCCUCUAUAUGGGUGAUGGCGUGCCUUUUGUAGAAUGAACCGGCGAGUUACGUUCCCGUGCGAGGUUAAGUUGAAAAGACGGAGCCGCAGCGAAAGCGAGUCUGAAUAGGGCGCUUUAGUACGUGGACGUAGACCCGAAACCGUGUGAUCUACCCCUGUCCAGGGUGAAGGUGAGGUAACACUCACUGGAGGCCCGAACCCACGCAUGUUGAAAAAUGCGGGGAUGAGGUGGGGGUAGCGGAGAAAUUCCAAUCGAACUCGGAGAUAGCUGGUUCUCCCCGAAAUAGCUUUAGGGCUAGCCUCGGAUGUUGAGUUGUGGAGGUAAAGCACUGAUUGGGUGCGGGGCCCGCCAAGGGUUACCAAGUCCAGUCAAACUCUGAAUGCCACAAACUUAAAUCCGGGAGUCAGACAGUGAGUGCUAAGAUCCAUUGUCAAAAGGGAAACAGCCCAGACCAUCAGCUAAGGUCCCCAAGUGUGUGUUAAGUGGGAAAGGAUGUGGAGUUGCACAGACAACCAGGAUGUUGGCUUAGAAGCAGCCACCAUUGAAAGAGUGCGUAAUAGCUCACUGGUCGAGUGACUCUGCGCCGAA